AAACGAUGAUGAAAAGCUCUGUGACGAUGGGUCGUCACGUUGUCACCUUCUCCGAUGAUACGAGCACCUCUGAGCUU
This 77-nucleotide small nucleolar RNA is filed under the name Zea mays. RNAcentral's name for it is "Zm_18". Lineage: Eukaryota; Viridiplantae; Streptophyta; Magnoliopsida; Poales; Poaceae. The record is from RNAcentral.